Long non-coding RNA from Gasterosteus aculeatus aculeatus (three-spined stickleback), 620 nucleotides. Lineage: Eukaryota; Metazoa; Chordata; Actinopteri; Perciformes; Gasterosteidae. The record is from Ensembl.
CGGACCUCGAGGUUAAGAGUUCAGUUUUAAUUCAUUUGAAACAAAGCUGUGUUAUGUCUUCAGCCUCACAUGAAACAGAGGCACACGUCCAGAAUGAGAAGUGAAGGUGUCCAGUGAGACGUGGGUCAUGGAGAGAGUUCUUGUGUCGUCAGACUUCUGAGGAGGGGCGGUCAUAUGUACACACUAUCUGGAAACUAGAGCAAAAAAGAAUGAUUGAACUACACCUACAAUUCUCAUUUGAGCUAACGUUACAGUAGCAACCUGACGUCAGCUAGCUUCCAUCAACCGUAGCAACCAAGACGCUAGCAAUAUGUCAGCUAGCAACCCGCAGGCACAAAAACGCAGCUACAGCUUCUUCUCCAAACUGAAAAUGCCACAAUUGCACAGGUUGUAGCAAAGAGUUUACAAUUUUAUUUCAUGAGUAUUUAGUGCAACGAGGCAUUUGAUACCUAAGCUAUCAGCAGGGGGAAAAAGCCAGCUGUCAGGCUAACUAACGGGCUAGCUCUGGCUCCAUUGAACUGUAACGGGGAUGGAGUCUGUACACAAACGCGACCGCACCGAACGGAUAAAGCUGCCAUUUUUCUACAAGCUUCCCUUCCCCCGUCCAGCGGCCGCUGUCA